Molecule: ribosomal RNA, 465 nt
Filed under: Vreelandella stevensii
Lineage: Bacteria; Pseudomonadati; Pseudomonadota; Gammaproteobacteria; Oceanospirillales; Halomonadaceae
Description: partial 16S ribosomal RNA
Rfam family: Bacterial small subunit ribosomal RNA
Source: RNAcentral
CCUACGGGGGGCAGCAGUGGGGAAUAUUGGACAAUGGGGGCAACCCUGAUCCAGCCAUGCCGCGUGUGUGAAGAAGGCCCUCGGGUUGUAAAGCACUUUCAGUGAGGAAGAACGCCUGGUGGUUAAUACCCAUCAGGAAAGACAUCACUCACAGAAGAAGCACCGGCUAACUCCGUGCCAGCAGCCGCGGUAAUACGGAGGGUGCGAGCGUUAAUCGGAAUUACUGGGCGUAAAGCGCGCGUAGGUGGCUUGAUAAGCCGGUUGUGAAAGCCCCGGGCUCAACCUGGGAACGGCAUCCGGAACUGUCAAGCUAGAGUGCAGGAGAGGAAGGUAGAAUUCCCGGUGUAGCGGUGAAAUGCGUAGAGAUCGGGAGGAAUACCAGUGGCGAAGGCGGCCUUCUGGACUGACACUGACACUGAGGUGCGAAAGCGUGGGUAGGAAACAGGAUUAGAUACCCGUGUAGUC